This 1993-nucleotide long non-coding RNA is filed under the name Homo sapiens (human). RNAcentral describes it as "HSALNT0195616". Lineage: Eukaryota; Metazoa; Chordata; Mammalia; Primates; Hominidae. The record is from RNAcentral.
UGGGUAGGGCCAGACAAGAGAAUAAAAGCAGGCUGCCGGAGCUGGCAGUAGCAAUUGGCUGGGGUGUUUUUCCGCUCUGUGGGAGAUUUGUUCUUUCGCUUUUUGGGUCCACGCUGCGUUUGUGAGCUGUAACACCGUGAAGGUCUGCAGCUUCACUCCUGAAGUCAGGCGAGAAGACUACGAACCCACCUGGAGGAACGAACAACUCCAGACUCGCCGCAUUAAGAGCGGUAACACCGCGAAGGUCUGCAGCUUCACUCCUGAGCCAGCGAGAUCACGAACCCACCGGAAGGCUGUAACAUAUCUGAACAUCAGAAGGAACAAACUCCGGACAGGCCGCCUUCAGGAACUGUAACACUCACCGCGAGGGUCCGUAGCUUCAUUCUUGAAGUCAGUGAGACCAAGAGCCCACCAAUUCCGGACACAACAGGACACACUGCGGCUUCUCCUGGCUUUUUCAAAGUUCAGCCCAAGAGGAAGAGAGACCUAAUUAAUACCCAGGAGAUGGUGGUGUUUAUUUUUUCCAGCUGGGACAACUAAGGCCCCGAGAGGAGAAAGGGACUAUCCGGGGUACAGAGGCCACUGAGUCAGAGCUAGGACCAACAUAUCACCAGCUCUCCCUCUUCAGCGCAGACCCCAACUCACCAGCGGUGGCUUCCUGAAGAGCUGGGUUAAGGAGGAUUCUGAGGUGCAGCAGAGCUCGCUAAGAGGCUGACGGGUAAGGGGUGCUGCGCUGUGAGCACAGGAGCCAGUGACACAGAUCAGAUGCUGCUGCUGUCGUGGCUGCCACCACAAGAAACAAGAGUGUUGGAGUGCAAAUUCAUUAUCCAGCUGUUAAGAGCGACAGAGCAUGCACACAUCUCUCCCCGACCGGGUUAUCUGAGAGCCAGCCCUGCUGUAUGAUUGAGUGGCUGCCAGCCUCCUCUUCUCUGUAACCUUGACACGCCAGAGCCGGGCCUCCAGUGCACAGGCUAAAAAUCCUAAAGGCAACGGCGGCGGCAACAAAUAGAUGGGUUAAUUUGUUUCAUGCCCCCGUUGUCACCAGGCUCUCGCAGAAUAAAACCACCACCACCACCACCACAACCUCCAUUUGUGGGGUUUAAUACCCCAGCUGCUGGGAAUCAGAUUCAGCCGGAGGAAGAAAAUGUGACGUCGAUGCAGAGAUCCAUUUAUUCGGUGAUGUUUGCUUAAAAACCGGUUUUUCAUCUGCAGGUUAUUCUUGCACGCUUGGACCUCAAGCAACACAAUAUCACAUUUCCAGGUGGUAUCUUUAAGGAAAGCUAAUUAAGACUCUUGGCACUUGUAGGAUGAAACAUUUUACAAUUUUCUUCAAAGCAAUUUGCCAACAUUAGCUAAUUAAAACACCCAGCCUUCCAUUGAGGGACAAUGGGAAGAGCAUACAAUUGUCAUUUCUGAGCAUCUGUUGUACGGAUAGAAAUCCAAAUUCCUGUUGCUUCUACUUGGUCAAUGUCCUUCUCUGAAGGUGGCCUUUCAUGGUUUUUCUGCAACCUGCAUUUAGGAGCAUUUAGAAGAAGAUUCCAGCUUUUCUAGCACUUAGCCUCUAAAAUAAAGAACAACACAGGGAAAGGAGUUUGAGCAAUUGAGGCUGGUCUGCUAAGCCAGGGGUUGGCAAACUAUGGCCCAAGGGCUAAAUCCAGCCCUUGACCUUUCUUUAAAGUUUUAUUGGAAUACAGCCAUGCUCAUUGGUUUACAUAUUGUUUCUGGCUACUCUCAAGCUAAAACAGCAGGGUUAAGUGACUGCUAGAGAAAGUAUAAGGCCUAGAAAGCUGGAAAUAUUUUUACUGUCUGGCCCUUUAUGAAAACAGUUUGCAGACCUCUGCAUUCAGCGGUCUGUUGCAUCUGCCUAUGAUUUUCCCGCUCUGCAGGCCAAACUACCCCAUUCCCAGUUGUUGAUUGGACAGCUCUUUUCCCAUGGUGUCAUUACUGUUAUUAAGUGUCUAGGCCCCAAAUGAAGGUCUCCAAAGAAGUGUCU